UACAGAGGGUGCAAGCGUUAAUCGGAAUUACUGGGCGUAAAGCGCGCGUAGGUGGUUCGUUAAGUUGGAUGUGAAAUCCCCGGGCUCAACCUGGGAACUGCAUUCAAAACUGACGAGCUAGAGUAUGGUAGAGGGUGGUGGAAUUUCCUGUGUAGCGGCGAAAUGCGUAGAUAUAGGAAGGAACACCAGUGGCGAAGGCGACCACCUGGACUGAUACUGACACUGAGGUGCGAAAGCGUGGGGAGCAAACAGG
This 253-nucleotide ribosomal RNA is filed under the name uncultured bacterium. RNAcentral describes it as "partial 16S ribosomal RNA". It matches the Rfam family "Bacterial small subunit ribosomal RNA", at positions 524 to 776 of the family's 1533-position model. The record is from RNAcentral.